This 253-nucleotide ribosomal RNA is filed under the name uncultured bacterium. Its description in RNAcentral is "partial 16S ribosomal RNA". It matches the Rfam family "Bacterial small subunit ribosomal RNA", at positions 524 to 776 of the family's 1533-position model. The record is from RNAcentral.
UACGUAGGUGGCAAGCGUUGUCCGGAUUUAUUGGGUUUAAAGGGUGCGUAGGCGGCCCUAUAAGUCAGUGCUGAAAUAUCCCGGCUUAACCGGGAGGGUGGCAUUGAUACUGUAGGGCUUGAGUAAAGUUGAGGUUGGCGGAAUUGACGGUGUAGCGGUGAAAUGCUUAGAUAUCGUCAAGAACACCUAUUGCGAAGGCAGCUAACUAAGCUUUAACUGACGCUGAGGCACGAAAGUAUGGGGAUCAAACAGG